GUACGGGUGGCAGCAGUGGGGAAUCUUCCGCAAUGGGCGAAAGCCUGACGGAGCAACGCCGCGUGAUCGAAUGAAGGCCUUCGGGUUGUAACGAUCUGUUGACAGGGACGAAUAAGCAAUGCGAAUAGUUUUGUGUAUGACGGUACCUGUUUAGAAAGCUCCGGCUAAAUACGUGCCAGCAGCCGCGGUAAUACGUAUGGAGCAAGCGUUAUCCGGAUUUACUGGGCGUAAAGGGAGCGUAGGCGGCCUGCCAAGUCGGAUGUGAAAUACCGGGGCUCAACCCCGGGGCUGCAUUGGAAACUGGCAGGCUUGAGUGCCGGAGAGGCAGGCGGAAUUCCUAGUGUAGCGGUGAAAUGCGUAGAUAUUAGGAGGAACACCAGUGGCGAAGGCGGCCUGCUGGACGGUGACUGACGCUGAGGCUCGAAAGCGUGGGGAGCAAACAGGAUUAGAUACCCCAGUAGUC
This 463-nucleotide ribosomal RNA is filed under the name uncultured bacterium. RNAcentral's name for it is "partial 16S ribosomal RNA". It matches the Rfam family "Bacterial small subunit ribosomal RNA", at positions 339 to 795 of the family's 1533-position model. The record is from RNAcentral.